UUUUGGUGAUGGCAUUGGUGGUGUAUUUGUGGUAUUGGUAGUGGUGGUGGCGGCGCUGGGGGUGAUGUUGGUGUUGGUAGUGGUGUUGGUGUUGUUGGUGGUAUUGAUGUUGGUGUUGGUAUUGGUGGCAUUAGUGGUGGUGUUGGUGGUUUUUAUUGGUGGUGUUGGUGGUCUGGUGUUGGUGUUGGUGGUUCAUCUAUUGCAAUAACUGGAGCAUCUGUUAGGAGAUAUUAACAUAGG
Molecule: long non-coding RNA, 240 nt
Filed under: Capsicum annuum
Lineage: Eukaryota; Viridiplantae; Streptophyta; Magnoliopsida; Solanales; Solanaceae
Description: long non-coding RNA (CANN_LNC020454)
Source: RNAcentral